This 76-nucleotide ribosomal RNA is filed under the name Streptococcus pyogenes. The record is from RNAcentral. Lineage: Bacteria; Bacillati; Bacillota; Bacilli; Lactobacillales; Streptococcaceae.
UUAAGUGACGAUAGCCUAGGAGAUACACCUGUACCCAUGCCGAACACAGCAGUUAAGCCCUAGAACGCCUGAUGUA